AGAGAAUAGAUACCCUGGUAGUCCACGCUGUAAACGAUCGGUACUAGAGUUUGGGGGAGUUGACCCCUUCAGACUCGGAGCUAAACGCGAUAAGUACCGCGCCUGGGAAGUACGGUCGCAAGACUAAAACUCAAAGGAAUUGACGGGAGCCCGCACAAGCGGUGGAUUAUGUGGUUUAAUUCGAAGCAACGCGCAGAACCUUACCUAGGUUUGACAUCCUUUGACAACUGCAGAGAUGUAGCUUUCAUAGCAGUAUGACAAAGAGACAGGUGCUGCAUGGCUGUCGUCAGCUCGUGUGGUGGCAUGUCGGGUUUAAGUCCCUCAACGAGCGCAACCCCUGUGUUUAGUUGCCAGCAUUAAGUUGGGCACUCUAGACAGACUGCCGUGGUUAACACGGAGAAGGCGGGAUGACGUCAAGUCCUCAUGGCCCUUACACCUAGGGCGACACACGUAAUACAAUGGUUGAUACAGAGGGAAGCGAAACGGCGACGUGGAGCAAAUCCCGAAAAGUCGAUCUCAGUUCGGAUUGGAGU
Molecule: ribosomal RNA, 533 nt
Filed under: uncultured bacterium
Lineage: Bacteria
Description: bacterial SSU rRNA
Rfam family: Bacterial small subunit ribosomal RNA
Source: RNAcentral